GACGAACGCUGGCGGCGUGCUUAACACAUGCAAGUUGAACGGGCAUACAUGGAAGCUUGCUGAAGUGUAUGUUAGUAGCGGACGGGUGAGUAAUGCAUGAGAAGCUGCCAUUGGGAGGGGGACAACAGUUGGAAACGGCUGCUAAUACCCCGUAUGCCGAAAGGUAAAAGGGAGCAAUCCGCCUGAUGAGGUGCUCAUGUCCUAUCAGCUGGUUGGUGGGGUAACGGCCUACCAAGGCGACGACGGGUAGCCGGCCUGAGAGGGUGAACGGCCACACUGGAACUGAGAUACGGUCCAGACUCCUACGGGAGGCAGCAGUGGGGAAUAUUGGGCAAUGGGGGAAACCCUGACCCAGCGACGCCGCGUGAGGGAAGACGGCCUUCGGGUUGUAAACCUCUUUUGUACGGGAAGAAGGAAGUGACGGUACUGUACGAAUAAGUCCCGGCUAACUACGUG
RNAcentral lists this ribosomal RNA (456 nucleotides) under uncultured bacterium. RNAcentral's name for it is "bacterial SSU rRNA". It matches the Rfam family "Bacterial small subunit ribosomal RNA", at positions 28 to 507 of the family's 1533-position model. The record is from RNAcentral.